GGGAUCAUUAAUGAAUGGCCUCUGUGCCUUCAACCUUACAAACCUGUGGAAGCUAUAUGUGCUUCGGCGCUCAGGCGUCGUUUUUAUGCUACAAGUCAGUCUUUGUGUCUGAAUCAAACAAAAGAAAUAAAACUUUCAACAAAGGAUCUCUUGGCUCUCGCAUCGAUGAAGAACGCAGCGAAGCGCGAAAUGUAGUGUGAAUCGCAGAACAUUGUGAAUCAUCGAAUCUUUGAACGCACAUUGCGCCUCUAGUAACUUGGAGGCAUGCCUGUCUGAGCGUCAUUUAAAACCAUAAACCUGAAUGGGUUUGUAUUGGGCAUCGCCGUACGGCGUAGCCUCAAAGACAUUGGUCUUGAACGCGGACGAGCUCCUUUAGGACAGACCGUGUGAGGACUUUAAACAUCUGACUUGACCUCAGAUCAGGUAGGACUACCGCCUGAACUUAAGCAUAUCAAUAAGGCGAGGAACAGAAACCAACAGGGAUUCCCCUAGUAGUGGCGAAUGAAGCGGGAAAAGCUCAAGUUUGAAAUCUGGUGGGCUCGUCCCCUCAGAGUUGUAAGCUGAAGAGGCAUUGACCGACGUUGUCCGGGCCCAAUUUCCUUGGAACAGGAGGUCAUGGAGGGUGAGAACCCCGUCUGUGGCUCGGGUGCUGUGGUCCCUGUGUCGUGCCCUCGAAGAGUCGGGUUGUUUGGGAAUGCAGCUCAAAAUGGGUGGUAAAUUUCAUCUAAAGCUAAAUAUUGGCGAGAGACCGAUAGCGAACAAGUACCGUGAGGGAAAGAUGAAAAGAACUUUGGAAAGAGAGUUAAACAGUACGUGAAAUUGCUGAAAGGGAAACGCUUGAAGUCAGUCGCGUUGUCCAGAGAUCAACCUUGCUUUUGCUUGGUGCACUUUCUGGUUCAACGGGUCAGCAUCAAUUUUGACUAUUGGAAAAAGGUUGAGGGAAUGUGGCAUCUUUGGAUGUGUUAUAGCCCUUGGUUGUAUACAAUGGUUGGGAUUGAGGAACUCAGCACGCCGCAAGGCCGGGUU
This 1026-nucleotide ribosomal RNA is filed under the name uncultured fungus. RNAcentral describes it as "eukaryotic LSU rRNA". The stretch from base 410 to 1026 matches the Rfam family "Eukaryotic large subunit ribosomal RNA", at positions 1 to 617 of the family's 3401-position model. The record is from RNAcentral. Lineage: Eukaryota; Fungi.